CCUGAAUACACUGUAACAAACAUCUCCACUAUCGCUAGCUACCUGUCCCCAGAAAACACUGGUAAAAACAUCUCACUAUCUUCUAGCUGCUGUCCCCAAACACCGUAAAAAACUUCUCACUAUAUGCUAGCUGCCUGUCCCCUGAACACACUG
Etheostoma spectabile (orangethroat darter) is the source of this 153-nucleotide long non-coding RNA. RefSeq lists it as uncharacterized. Lineage: Eukaryota; Metazoa; Chordata; Actinopteri; Perciformes; Percidae. The transcript is spliced from 3 exons. The record is from RefSeq and is a predicted model, not a curated record.